Molecule: ribosomal RNA, 254 nt
Filed under: uncultured bacterium
Lineage: Bacteria
Description: partial 16S ribosomal RNA
Rfam family: Bacterial small subunit ribosomal RNA
Source: RNAcentral
CUCAGCCUACGGGGGGCAGCAGUGGGGAAUAUUGGGCAAUGGGCGCAAGCCUGACCCAGCAACGCCGCGUGAAGGAAGAAGGCUUUCGGGUUGUAAACUUCUUUUCUCAGGGACGAAGCAAGUGACGGUACCUGAGGAAUAAGCCACGGCUAACUACGUGCCAGCAGCCGCGGUAAUACGUAGGUGGCAAGCGUUAUCCGGAUUUACUGGGUGUAAAGGGCGUGUAGGCGGGGACGCAAGGCAGAUGUGAAAAC